GACGAACGCUGGCGGCGUGCCUAAUACAUGCAAGUAGAACGCUGAAGGCGGACCUUGCUCUUCUGGAUGAGUUGCGAACGGGUGAGUAACGCGUAGGUAACCUGCCUGGUAGCGGGGGAUAACUAUUGGAAACGAUAGCUAAUACCGCAUAAGAGCUGCUGUUGCAUGACAUUUGUUUAAAAGGUGCAAUUGUAUCACUACCAGUUGGACCUGCGUUGUUUUUGCUUGUUGGUGGGGUAACGGCUCACCAUGGCGACGAUACGUAGUCGACCGGAGAGGGUGGUCAGCCGCACUGGGACGGAGACACGGCACAUUCGCCUUCAGGUAGCAGCCAGAGUGAAACGUCGGCAAUGGGCGGAAGACUGACCGAGCAAGGCCGCAGGAGUGAGGAAGAUUGUCGGGUGGGAGAGCACGGUUGUAAGAGUGUAACGAGUGUGAGAGUGGAAAGAUCACACUGUGACGGUAUCUGACCAGGAAGGACCGGCUAACUACGUG
RNAcentral lists this ribosomal RNA (495 nucleotides) under uncultured bacterium. Its description in RNAcentral is "partial 16S ribosomal RNA". It matches the Rfam family "Bacterial small subunit ribosomal RNA", at positions 28 to 507 of the family's 1533-position model. The record is from RNAcentral.